Molecule: ribosomal RNA, 468 nt
Filed under: uncultured bacterium
Lineage: Bacteria
Description: partial 16S ribosomal RNA
Rfam family: Bacterial small subunit ribosomal RNA
Source: RNAcentral
GACGAACGCUGGCGGCGUGCUUAACACAUGCAAGUCGAACGGAAAGGCCCUGCGUUUGUGGGGUGCUCGAGUGGCGAACGGGUGAGUAACACGUGAGUAACCUGCCCUUGACUUUGGGAGAACUUCAGGAAACUGGGUCUAAUACCGGAGAGGAGCUCCUGCGGCAUGGGGGGGGUUGUAAAGUUUCGGCGGUUGGGGAUGGACUCGCGGCUUAUCAGCUUGUUGGUGGGGUAGUGGCUUACCAAGGCUUUGACGGGUAGCCGGCCUGAGAGGGUGACCGGCCACAUUGGGACUGAGAUACGGCCCAGACUCCUACGGGAGGCAGCAGUGGGGAAUAUUGCACAAUGGGCGGAAGCCUGAUGCAGCAACGCCGCGUGCGGGAUGACGGCCUUCGGGUUGUAAACCGCUUUCGCCUGUGACGAAGCGUGAGUGACGGUAAUGGGUAAAGAAGCACCGGCUAACUACGUG